AUUCAUUUAGUAUAUAAAGUAUAUUUAACUUCCAAUUAAAAGGAUUAAUAAUAAAAAUGAAUA
This 63-nucleotide transfer RNA is filed under the name Leptobelus gazella. Its description in RNAcentral is "tRNA-Gly". Lineage: Eukaryota; Metazoa; Arthropoda; Insecta; Hemiptera; Membracidae. The record is from RNAcentral.